CGGUUUGGUCAGUCCUCCGGGAAAUCUGACGGCUCAACCGUUAGGCUUUCGGGGGAUACUGCCAGGCUUGGAACCGGGAGAGGUAAGAGGUACUACAGGGGUAGGAGUGAAAUCUUGUAAUCCCUGUGGGACCACCUGUGGCGAAGGCGUCUUACCAGAACGGGUUCGACGGUGAGGGACGAAAGCUGGGGGCACGAACCGGAUUAGAUACCCGGGUAGUCCCAGCCGUAAACGAUGCUCGCUAGGUGUCAGGCAUGGCGCGACCGUGUCUGGUGCCGCAGGGAAGCCGUGAAGCGAGCCACCUGGGAAGUACGGCCGCAAGGCUGAAACUUAAAGGAAUUGGCGGGGGAGCACAACAACGGGUGGAGCCUGCGGUUUAAUUGGACUCAACGCCGGACAACUCACCGGGGGCGACAGCAAUAUGUAGGCCAAGCUGAAGACUUUGCCUGAAUCGCUGAGAGGAGGUGCAUGGCCGUCGCCAGUUCGUACUGUGAAGCAUCCUGUUAAGUCAGGCAACGAGCGAGACCCGUGCCCACUGUUACCAGCAUAUCCUCCGGGAUGAUGGGUACUCUGUGGGGACCGCCGGUGUUAAAUCGGAGGAAGGUGCGGGCCACG
RNAcentral lists this ribosomal RNA (615 nucleotides) under uncultured Methanosarcina sp. RNAcentral's name for it is "bacterial SSU rRNA". It matches the Rfam family "Archaeal small subunit ribosomal RNA", at positions 526 to 1140 of the family's 1478-position model. Lineage: Archaea; Methanobacteriati; Methanobacteriota; Methanomicrobia; Methanosarcinales; Methanosarcinaceae. The record is from RNAcentral.